GACGAACGCUGGCGGCGCGCUUAACACAUGCAAGUCGAGCGAUGAAACUUUAACAGAACCCUUCGGGGCGAAGAGAAAGUGGAUUAGCGGCGGACGGGUGAGUAACACGUGAGUAACCUGCCUUAGACAUUGGGAUAGCCUCGGGAAACCGGGAUUAAUACCAAAUAAAAUCAUAAUGACACAUGUCAUAACGAUCAAAACUCCGGUGGUCUAAGAUGGACUCGCGUCCCAUUAGCUAGUUGGUAGAGUAAAAGCCUACCAAGGCGACGAUGGGUAGCCGGCCUGUGAGGGUGAACCGCCACAUUGGCACUGAGAAACGGUCCAAACUCCUACGGGAGGCAGCAGUGGGGAAUAUUGCACAAUGGAGGGAACUCUGAUGCAGCGACGCCGCGUGAACGAAGAAGGCUUUCGAGUCGUAAAGUUCUUUUAUAUGGGAAGAUAAUGACGGUACCAUAAGAAAAAGCCCCGGCUAACUACGUG
Molecule: ribosomal RNA, 480 nt
Filed under: uncultured bacterium
Lineage: Bacteria
Description: partial 16S ribosomal RNA
Rfam family: Bacterial small subunit ribosomal RNA
Source: RNAcentral